Molecule: transfer RNA, 75 nt
Filed under: Caldimonas brevitalea
Lineage: Bacteria; Pseudomonadati; Pseudomonadota; Betaproteobacteria; Burkholderiales; Sphaerotilaceae
Description: [Polyangium] brachysporum tRNA-Ile
Rfam family: tRNA
About the family: Transfer RNA (tRNA) molecules are approximately 80 nucleotides in length. Their secondary structure includes four short double-helical elements and three loops (D, anti-codon, and T loops).
Source: RNAcentral
UCUCGCGUAGCUCAGUGGCAGAGCACCGUCUUGAUAAGGCGGGGGUCGGUGGAUCGUUCCCACCCGCGAGGACCA